CAGUCGCCGCGGGAAUACGAAGGGGGCUAGCGUUGCUCGGAAUGACUGGGCGUAAAGGGCGCGCAGGCGGUUUGUACAGUUGGAUGUGAAAUUCCUGGGCUUAACCUGGGGGCUGCAUUCAAUACGUGCAGGCUUGAGUGUGGAAGAGGGUUGUGGAAUUCCCAGUGUAGAGGUGAAAUUCGUAGAUAUUGGGAAGAACACCGGUGGCGAAGGCGGCAACCUGGUCCAUUACUGACGCUGAGGCGCGAAAGCGUGGGGAGCAAACAGGAUUAGAUACCCCAGUAGUCCCUGUCACUUAUAC
Molecule: ribosomal RNA, 301 nt
Filed under: uncultured bacterium
Lineage: Bacteria
Description: partial 16S ribosomal RNA
Rfam family: Bacterial small subunit ribosomal RNA
Source: RNAcentral